GGAUGGGUGAGUAACACGUGGGCAACCUGCCUAUAAGACUGGGAUAACUUACGGAAACGUGAGCUAAUACCGGAUGAAACCUCUUAUCACCUGGUAAGAGGAUGAAAGAUGGCUUUUAGCUAUCACUUAUAGAUGGGCCCGCGGCGCAUUAGCUAGUUGGUGAGAUAAAAGCUCACCAAGGCAACGAUGCGUAGCCRACCUGAGAGGGUGAUCGGCCACACUGGGACUGAGACACGGCCCAGACUCCUACGGGAGGCAGCAGUAGGGAAUCUUCCGCAAUGGACGAAAGUCUGACGGAGCAACGCCGCGUGAACGAAGAAGGUUCUCGGAUCGUAAAGUUCUGUUGUUAGGGAAGAACACGUACCAUUCGAAUAGGGUGGUACCUUGACGGUACCUAACGAGAAAGCCCCGGCUAACUACGUGCCAGCAGCCGCGGUAAUACGUAGGGGGCAAGCGUUGUCCGGAAUUAUUGGGCGUAAAGCGCUCGCAGGCGGUUUUUUAAGUCUGAUGUGAAAUCUUGCGGCUCAACCGCAAGCGGUCAUUGGAAACUGGAGAACUUGAGGACAGAAGAGGAGAGUGGAAUUCCACGUGUAGCGGUGAAAUGCGUAGAGAUGUGGAGGAACACCAGUGGCGAAGGCGACUCUCUGGUCUGUAACUGACGCUGAGGAGCGAAAGCGUGGGUAGCGAACAGGAUUAGAUACCCUGGUAGUCCACGCCGUAAACGAUGAGUGCUAGGUGUUAGGG
This 744-nucleotide ribosomal RNA is filed under the name Amphibacillus sp. RNAcentral describes it as "bacterial SSU rRNA". The record is from RNAcentral. Lineage: Bacteria; Bacillati; Bacillota; Bacilli; Caryophanales; Bacillaceae.